Molecule: long non-coding RNA, 7226 nt
Organism: Brassica rapa (field mustard)
Lineage: Eukaryota; Viridiplantae; Streptophyta; Magnoliopsida; Brassicales; Brassicaceae
Source: RefSeq, a predicted model, not a curated record
AUGAAAAAUUAUAAAAAUAUAAAUUUAAAUUAAGAAAAACUAACAUUGGAAAAACAAGAAGUUAAUGUAAAAGAAAAAACCAAUAAAUAAUAUUAUAAAUAAAAUAAAUUUAUAAGACACAAUCUGCGCGAAACGCGGAAAAAAAUCUCUAGUAUCGAUAAAUUGAGUAGGUAAGAAGGCCACAUAUUGACCAAAAAAAUAAAAAAGGCCACAUAUUGACCAAAAAAAUAAAGAAGGCCACAUAAUAGCUAUAAAUAAUUUUACAAUUAAUUUUCUCAUCAUUUUAUUUCUUUCGAUUUAUUGUUAUAAUAUUUUUGAAUAAAAAUAUAUUUUGCUAUAAUAUAUUCAAACUGCACUAAUUUAGCAUAAGGACGCACGCAUCAUAUGAUUGAAAUUAUAAACUCACGCCCAUCCGUGCACUAUUUAUUCGUUCCUACGUCACUAAUGUUAGGAUGUACAACGCCGAUCGAUAAUAAAUCCAAUUUCGAAUUUAGUCUUUUUUUUAGAAAAACUUUGACUAGAAAAUAAAUUAUAUUUUUGAAUUUACAUAGUUAUUUUUGGGCUGUAUCAUUUACAGUGAUAACUCUAAUAUCUUUAUAUAUAAAAGAGGCUUUGUUUCUCUCUUAGAGUGUCCACAUCGGAUGACAGGUCACUAAUUCGAAGCAUGUAUGCGCGACACGUGUUCAAGUGACUUAAACUCACCAUUUCAUUUAAUCUUUUACGUGAUGGGCUUCGUCGUUUAACAUGUGGGUGUGUUCGAGGCUCUUUUACGUGAUAGACUUGAUCAAUUAUAUCUCACAGAAUAUGUAUUAACUAAGCCCAUUAUUGUUUCAUUCUAGGUCAACUGACUCGCUUCGUCUUCUCCGCAAGCAUCUUGAUCGUUCGGUCGUUAGAUCUUCUGGACAUUGAAUUUGUAGUUAGUGAUGCGUACUGCUAACGUAUGGAUUCAGUGAACAAUAUUAAAGUUUUCAUUAACAUCACUGAUCCACUCAUCCCACAACUUUUCAUUCAAUGCACCUCUAAUCUCAAUGUUUGUAGAUCUCGAUCUAUAAAAAGCGAGUUUGGAGUUGUGAAGAUCAUCACUUUCUUCUUAGUCAUUGUAAUCUUCACAAAUUCGUCAUCCCGGAAUGGCUAUUUCUUCCCAUCUGCUCGCCCACUUGAAGGCAUGAAGUCGUAACACCACAGUCCGUCGAAGUCCAGUUUUUGACAAACCUUAGCAGAUAAUCAAUGAUGACUGGCGUUCAUGUUGGAUCAAUCUUCUAAACUCCGAUUAGGCCAGAUUGGUGAAUGGCACCUCAAUUGCCGCAAAAAUCUACCUAACUUGAUCCAUGAAUUUCUAAAACAGGGUCAUCGGGACAAUCACUGACUGUUACACUUCCUCUCGAUUUGUAAGCAACCACAUACAAAUCUUCGGCAAACCCAUGAUUCAGAGAACUUGGGAGAGUUUGGUGUUACCUCUACUCUCGAUGACUUUGGUAAUAUUGCUCCUCUCUACUCUUUUUGGUUACAUACAUAAGAAAGUUAUGAACUUUAUGAAUCAAAGGCCUUUUUUUGUAAACUAAUUGGUAGUAGCUCAGAUAAGAAGAACACAUGGAUGAUGGUUCUGAACAAAAGUUUCAAUGGCCACCGCUUCUAUUAUUAUGACUGAGUGAACGUGUCCACCUUAUCUGUGACACUUUUCACCCCUUCCACCUAUACAUGCGCUUCCUUCGAGAUCGUUUAAUCAUCGUGAUUGCUCAUUGAACGCAACAUCAACAUACCACCGAUGACAUUCUGUCAGGGAGAGAGAUCAAUGGCUCCCAUUUGUGAGGUGGAUGAGACGAUGAUAAAGGUUGCUUCAAGGUGUGAAUUGUUUUCUGAACUGUUAUGUUUUGCAAAUCGGUUAUUCAGCAAAAUAUGAUUUUUCCGUGGGAUGCUGAUACAACAUGUUAGAAUUUUCUGAUCUUGCAUUUUAUUUCCUAUUUUCAGUAAUAUUUACCGCCGUUUGAUUAAUCAACUACUUUGCAUGGGCUGUGGUUAGAAAUAUGCUAAUUUGUUAAUGGGUUUGCAUGUUCUUAUAUGCAUCUCAAAUGUUCUUAAUCAUGUGUUUGUUGAAAGAAAAAUAUUCUAGAAAGAAGUUUUCCUGAGUUGUAGUGAAGAUUUUUUUCUUUUGGCUGCGAGCAAAUAAUAAAAGUAUGGAUCUAUACUCAAUUAAUGAGAUAAGCGCAGUUGAGAGGUGUCGGAAUGAGAGGCUUUUACUUCGGAGAGCAAGCCAGAAACCAUAUACGGCGGAUGGUUUUGGGGCAUUGAAAAAAAAAAUGCUAUUGAGGAAGAUGUAAUUAUUACUUUUGUAUUGUUAGUGUUACUGAGACUUAAUUGUUAAAUUAAUCUUUUAAGUUCUGAAUUACUUUAUCUCUUGAACUGUCUAAACAUAAAGAAGAAACGUCGUCAUCCUCUUUACAUGUAAAACAUAUGAUUAUACUCUCAAGUUAAGGUGUACAUUUCUAAUUUUCCAGACACUACUGUGUAUAGUUUGGUAUGUAUUGUCUUUCUUUUGUUUUUAUGAGUUCCCCUCCACGGUCAGCUCAAGCUAUUUACUGUCUGAGUAUAUGAUAGUGUUACUCAUUUACAAGUGUACUCCAAAAAAAAAAAAAAAGAAACAAAAACAAAUAUAAAAAUGAUGGCCCUGAUGUUGGAUCGACCAACUAACUUCAAAUAUAUUCAAGACUUUCAAUAUAUUGAGUGUUUCGUGUUCCAUUCGUAAUUUUGGUUUUGUUUGUAAAAGUUGAAAUUAACCAUCAAAAAUUUGAGAAGUUAACAUAGAUAAUAAUAAGCGUUCCAAAAAAAGCAUAGAUAGUAUGAAAUAUAAUUUCCAAUUAAGAUGAAUUACAUUUGUUAAACUGUGUUGUUUAAUUACUUUGCUACAAUAUUUUUCACCAAAAAUAUUGUUGCAUGUUACGGAGAUACACAAUAUAUAUACACAUAAUGUAAUUCAAAAAUAUACAAUGUAAUAUAAAAUCAUUAUUGUUUCAUUCUAGGUCAACUGACUCGCUUCGUCUUCUCCGCAAGCAUCUUGAUCGUUCGGUCGUUAGAUCUUCUGGACAUUGAAUUUGUAGUUAGUGAUGCGUACUGCUAACGUAUGGAUUCAGUGAACAAUAUUAAAAUUUUCAUUAACAUCACUGAUCCACUCAUCCCACAACUUUUCAUUCAAUGCACCUCUAAUCUCAAUGUUUGUAGAUCUCGAUCUAUAAAAAGCGAGUUUGGAGUUGUGAAGAUCAUCACUUUCUUCUUAGUCAUUGUAAUCUUCACAAAUUCGUCAUCCCGGAAUGGCUAUUUCUUCCCAUCUGCUCGCCCACUUGAAGGCAUGAAGUCGUAACACCACAGUCCGUCGAAGUCCAGUUUUUGACAAACCUUAGCAGAUAAUCAAUGAUGACUGGCGUUCAUGUUGGAUCAAUCUUCUAAACUCCGAUUAGGCCAGAUUGGUGAAUGGCACCUCAAUUGCCGCAAAAAUCUACCUAACUUGAUCCAUGAAUUUCUAAAACAGGGUCAUCGGGACAAUCACUGACUGUUACACUUCCUCUCGAUUUGUAAGCAACCACAUACAAAUCUUCGGCAAACCCAUGAUUCAGGUUCCUUCUUGGCUUCUUUUUUUUUCAGUUGUGUUUCGACUGCGAUGUUUCAUGUUUGUAGCUCAACGUUUCAAAAUAUUCAACUUUAACAUUUGUUCUUGAACAGAGAACUUGGGAGAGUUUGGUGUUACCUCUACUCUCGAUGACUUUGGUAAUAUUGCUCCUCUCUACUCUUUUUGGUUACAUACAUAAGAAAGUUAUGAACUUUAUGAAUCAAAGGCCUUUUUUUGUAAACUAAUUGGUAGUAGCUCAGAUAAGAAGAACACAUGGAUGAUGGUUCUGAACAAAAGUUUCAAUGGCCACCGCUUCUGUUAUUAUGACUGAGUGAACGUGUCCACCUUAUCUGUGACACUUUUCACCCCUUCCACCUAUACAUGCGCUUCCUUCGAGAUCGUUUAAUCAUCGUGAUUGCUCAUUGAACGCAACAUCAACAUACCACCGAUGACAUUCUGUCAGGGAGAGAGAUCAAUGGCUCCCAUUUGUGAGGUGGAUGAGACGAUGAUAAAGGUUGCUUCAAGGUGUGAAUUGUUUUCUGAACUGUUAUGUUUUGCAAAUCGGUUAUUCAGCAAAAUAUGAUUUUUCCGUGGGAUGCUGAUACAACAUGUUAGAAUUUUCUGAUCUUGCAUUUUAUUUCCUAUUUUCAGUAAUAUUUACCGCCGUUUGAUUAAUCAACUACUUUGCAUGGGCUGUGGUUAGAAAUAUGCUAAUUUGUUAAUGGGUUUGCAUGUUCUUAUAUGCAUCUCAAAUGUUCUUAAUCAUGUGUUUGUUGAAAGAAAAAUAUUCUAGAAAGAAGUUUUCCUGAGUUGUAGUGAAGAUUUUUUUCUUUUGGCUGCGAGCAAAUAAUAAAAGUAUGGAUCUAUACUCAAUUAAUGAGAUAAGCGCAGUUGAGAGGUGUCGGAAUGAGAGGCUUUUACUUCGGAGAGCAAGCCAGAAACCAUAUACGGCGGAUGGUUUUGGGGCAUUGAAAAAAAAAAUGCUAUUGAGGAAGAUGUAAUUAUUACUUUUGUAUUGUUAGUGUUACUGAGACUUAAUUGUUAAAUUAAUCUUUUAAGUUCUGAAUUACUUUAUCUCUUGAACUGUCUAAACAUAAAGAAGAAACGUCGUCAUCCUCUUUACAUGUAAAACAUAUGAUUAUACUCUCAAGUUAAGGUGUACAUUUCUAAUUUUCCAGACACUACUGUGUAUAGUUUGGUAUGUAUUGUCUUUCUUUUGUUUUUAUGAGUUCCCCUCCACGGUCAGCUCAAGCUAUUUACUGUCUGAGUAUAUGAUAGUGUUACUCAUUUACAAGUGUACUCCAAAAAAAAAAAAAAAGAAACAAAAACAAAUAUAAAAAUGAUGGCCCUGAUGUUGGAUCGACCAACUAACUUCAAAUAUAUUCAAGACUUUCAAUAUAUUGAGUGUUUCGUGUUCCAUUCGUAAUUUUGGUUUUGUUUGUAAAAGUUGAAAUUAACCAUCAAAAAUUUGAGAAGUUAACAUAGAUAAUAAUAAGCGUUCCAAAAAAAGCAUAGAUAGUAUGAAAUAUAAUUUCCAAUUAAGAUGAAUUACAUUUGUUAAACUGUGUUGUUUAAUUACUUUGCUACAAUAUUUUUCACCAAAAAUAUUGUUGCAUGUUACGGAGAUACACAAUAUAUAUACACAUAAUGUAAUUCAAAAAUAUACAAUGUAAUAUAAAAUCAUUAUUGUUUCAUUCUAGGUCAACUGACUCGCUUCGUCUUCUCCGCAAGCAUCUUGAUCGUUCGGUCGUUAGAUCUUCUGGACAUUGAAUUUGUAGUUAGUGAUGCGUACUGCUAACGUAUGGAUUCAGUGAACAAUAUUAAAAUUUUCAUUAACAUCACUGAUCCACUCAUCCCACAACUUUUCAUUCAAUGCACCUCUAAUCUCAAUGUUUGUAGAUCUCGAUCUAUAAAAAGCGAGUUUGGAGUUGUGAAGAUCAUCACUUUCUUCUUAGUCAUUGUAAUCUUCACAAAUUCGUCAUCCCGGAAUGGCUAUUUCUUCCCAUCUGCUCGCCCACUUGAAGGCAUGAAGUCGUAACACCACAGUCCGUCGAAGUCCAGUUUUUGACAAACCUUAGCAGAUAAUCAAUGAUGACUGGCGUUCAUGUUGGAUCAAUCUUCUAAACUCCGAUUAGGCCAGAUUGGUGAAUGGCACCUCAAUUGCCGCAAAAAUCUACCUAACUUGAUCCAUGAAUUUCUAAAACAGGGUCAUCGGGACAAUCACUGACUGUUACACUUCCUCUCGAUUUGUAAGCAACCACAUACAAAUCUUCGGCAAACCCAUGAUUCAGGUUCCUUCUUGGCUUCUUUUUUUUUCAGUUGUGUUUCGACUGCGAUGUUUCAUGUUUGUAGCUCAACGUUUCAAAAUAUUCAACUUUAACAUUUGUUCUUGAACAGAGAACUUGGGAGAGUUUGGUGUUACCUCUACUCUCGAUGACUUUGGUAAUAUUGCUCCUCUCUACUCUUUUUGGUUACAUACAUAAGAAAGUUAUGAACUUUAUGAAUCAAAGGCCUUUUUUUGUAAACUAAUUGGUAGUAGCUCAGAUAAGAAGAACACAUGGAUGAUGGUUCUGAACAAAAGUUUCAAUGGCCACCGCUUCUGUUAUUAUGACUGAGUGAACGUGUCCACCUUAUCUGUGACACUUUUCACCCCUUCCACCUAUACAUGCGCUUCCUUCGAGAUCGUUUAAUCAUCGUGAUUGCUCAUUGAACGCAACAUCAACAUACCACCGAUGACAUUCUGUCAGGGAGAGAGAUCAAUGGCUCCCAUUUGUGAGGUGGAUGAGACGAUGAUAAAGGUUGCUUCAAGGUGUGAAUUGUUUUCUGAACUGUUAUGUUUUGCAAAUCGGUUAUUCAGCAAAAUAUGAUUUUUCCGUGGGAUGCUGAUACAACAUGUUAGAAUUUUCUGAUCUUGCAUUUUAUUUCCUAUUUUCAGUAAUAUUUACCGCCGUUUGAUUAAUCAACUACUUUGCAUGGGCUGUGGUUAGAAAUAUGCUAAUUUGUUAAUGGGUUUGCAUGUUCUUAUAUGCAUCUCAAAUGUUCUUAAUCAUGUGUUUGUUGAAAGAAAAAUAUUCUAGAAAGAAGUUUUCCUGAGUUGUAGUGAAGAUUUUUUUCUUUUGGCUGCGAGCAAAUAAUAAAAGUAUGGAUCUAUACUCAAUUAAUGAGAUAAGCGCAGUUGAGAGGUGUCGGAAUGAGAGGCUUUUACUUCGGAGAGCAAGCCAGAAACCAUAUACGGCGGAUGGUUUUGGGGCAUUGAAAAAAAAAAUGCUAUUGAGGAAGAUGUAAUUAUUACUUUUGUAUUGUUAGUGUUACUGAGACUUAAUUGUUAAAUUAAUCUUUUAAGUUCUGAAUUACUUUAUCUCUUGAACUGUCUAAACAUAAAGAAGAAACGUCGUCAUCCUCUUUACAUGUAAAACAUAUGAUUAUACUCUCAAGUUAAGGUGUACAUUUCUAAUUUUCCAGACACUACUGUGUAUAGUUUGGUAUGUAUUGUCUUUCUUUUGUUUUUAUGAGUUCCCCUCCACGGUCAGCUCAAGCUAUUUACUGUCUGAGUAUAUGAUAGUGUUACUCAUUGACAAGUGUACUCCAAAAAAAAAAAAAAAAGAAACAAAAACAAAUAUAAAAA